GCCUAGAUAGCUCAGUUGGGAGAGCGUUAGACUGAAGAUCUAAAGGUCCCCGGUUCAAUCCCGGGUCUGGGCA
Molecule: transfer RNA, 73 nt
Organism: Helobdella robusta
Lineage: Eukaryota; Metazoa; Annelida; Clitellata; Rhynchobdellida; Glossiphoniidae
Rfam family: tRNA
About the family: Transfer RNA (tRNA) molecules are approximately 80 nucleotides in length. Their secondary structure includes four short double-helical elements and three loops (D, anti-codon, and T loops).
Source: Rfam